CUUAAUAUUUGGGACAGUCAGACCCAUAAGUCAAGGGGUGCCUUAGCCUUAGCCUUAGGGAAAGGCUUUUUUCUGAAAAUCAGAUUCUUCAUUUAGCCAUUUUCUUUUCUCUCUCUAGAAAACCCUUUCUCCUAAUUUUUGUGCCUUCUCUCUAAAAUCCCAAAUCAUUACACCGAUCAAAUUUUGAUUUGAAGGUGUUUCCGCGCUCACUACACCAAGGGCUUCAAUUUGAACCCAACGUUUUUCUAUUCCGACCAGUAAGUGUGUUUUCUCCUUUUCUCCGCUAUUUUCCAAACUUAAGGCUUGGGGUUCUACUGAUUUUAUGCAAUUAGAACCUUCCUUUUUAUGAUUUCUAUUAUGUUCUAGCUCUAAGAGUUGUGUUCUAUCACCAAUUCGGUGAUUUGUAGGUUCUGUAAGCUCAACGCUGAGUGGGUUCCUGUAAGGGCGUUUUCAAUUAGCUGCUCUUUGAGAAAACCAGGUAAUGGGGGCUGAUUAUUUUCCUUUGAAUGAAAUGCUCAAAUAUGUUUAAUUAAUGUAUGUAUGUUAUACUCUAGAUUGAUGUACUGCUUUGGACUGUAUUUUUAGAUUUUAAGUUGACUUGACAACAUGAAUUGAAAUGUGCAAUUGGUGAGUGGAAUGUGGUAUUUAUGAAUGUGACUGGUGUGGAAUUAGUUGUUGUAAAUCUAAUGUAUGGGAAGUAGUUAGAAACGUGUAGGUUUUACUCUAGUUAUCAUAUUACUUUUGUUUGUUUUGGAGUGAAAAAGAUAAAAAAAAAAAAACAAAUGCUGAAAACAAGUUUAAGUUAAUAUAGUAUAGGUAUAUAUUUUAUAUAUAUAAGAUGUGAGAGAAAUUAGGUUUCAGAGGAAGAAAGAAAUAGUAUGAUGAGUUUUAGAUUUGAUAGUUUUCCUUUUAAUGAAAGUGUGGGGUAAUAACUGGAGGGCCCUGCAAUUAGGAAGAUGAGGAUGGAUGAAUGAUAUAUUAUACGAUAUAAUAUAUUACAGCAAAUGCUUAUUUUGGUUUUUUUUGUGGUCCUUAUAUAUACUAAAUAAUAAUAUCAUUUAAUACUAAUAAUAUAUAAUGGAUAUAUAACGUAUAAAAGGGGUUAAGUUAUAUAUGAUAUUAUAUUAUAUAUAAAUAUUAAAAUCAUAUUACUUUUAAAGUUAAUAGUUUACUGUUGUUAAAUUAUAUAUGAUAUUAUAUUAUAUAUAAAUGUUAAAAUCAUAUUACUUUUUAAAGGUAAUAGUUUACUGUUGUUAAGUUAUAUAUAUAGUAUUAUAUUAUAUAUAAAUAUUAAAAUCAUAUUACUUUUUAAAGGUAAUAGUUCACGGUUGGGGAAUUUGAAUUUCAUGAAUGUUAUAGUGUGCAGUGAAUAUUGAUAUAUCAGCGCUGUUAUUUUUUUUAUAAAUACCAUGUGGAGUGUUUAAAUUGAUAAAUUAAAUGGUGGUAUUUAUUAAAUCUAAUGCACUUUUAUUUGCUGAGUUAACAUAGAAUUAAGCAUUAUCAUAAUAUUUACUUAACAUGAUGAUACAAGAGAUUUUAGUUUGGCAUGUGAGGGGUUAUUAGGUAUAUAAAAUAAAUAAUAAAAGUUAAAUAUUUUUAUGUGUUGUAGUGUUAUUUUAUAUGAAAUCGAAAUGUUUUAUAUGGUGUAGAAAAACCUUGCGUUUGAUGAGUCAAUGUAUAGUACUGAGACUAUGUAAGAAAAGUAUUGAGGUUGUAUUAUAAGUUUUGUGAUUGGUGAGUAAUGUAUAUUGUUGAGAUUAUGUAUAUGUUGAUUGGGGCAAAAAGUAUAUGAUUACAAAGUGAUGAAAGUAUGAUCCAAGUGGUAAACCAAGUUCCAUCUAUGUAGAAUCUCUUGGUGAGAUUCUUAGUGUUUUAGAAUGAAAGUAGGAGCUCAGUCUUGGGGGUCUUCCUGACCUCCAAUGGUCUUUCCUCUCACGUAGAGAGGGUUGAACCAUGUGGUGAGGAGUAGCAGGAGAUCUUAGUUUUGGAGGCUUUCAUCAUGAUCCAAGGCGUGGAACAGACUAACCUCGUGAGUGUGGCAGGGCGGGGGAGCCCAAGGCGGGGGAACCCAAGGCGGGGGAGCCCAAGGCGGGGGAGCCUAAGUAUCACAAGCCACCACGGGUGCAUGACCCGCCAUAGCUCGACUCUCAUUCUAAAGUCUGGACGAGUCAAGUCUAGAAGAUAACAUGCUAGGAUUUGUGUUGUAUAUAUGGCCUUGCUUGCAUAUACUUUACUUGAGUUGAAUCUAGUAUGUUAAUGUUGGUAUAAUUGCAUGCUUUUUAUAUAAUUAGCUCACCCUUGCUUGCUUGUUUGUGUUGUGCUAUUUCUGCGUGUUUUCUCUUGCGAUGAUCAUCCACUUGGAUGGGAGCAGAUGGCGAGAAGGCUACUUUGGAAACAACUCUUGAUGGGGAUGACAGUGCUGCAGUCUUGUCUACUAGGCUUCACUUGAUUAGCCUUUUAUUUUGAAGAACUUAUCAUGUUCUAAGUUUUAAUUUCAUGUAUUUUCAGAGAGAAACUUUAGUACUCCACUUCCAAAUUUUAGAGUAUUAUUUAAGAAUGACUGUAAUUCUAUUACUCUUAACUGCUUUCUAGUAUUAUUAAUAGUGACGCC
This 2611-nucleotide long non-coding RNA is filed under the name Vigna radiata. RNAcentral describes it as "long non-coding RNA (VRAD_LNC007747)". The record is from RNAcentral. Lineage: Eukaryota; Viridiplantae; Streptophyta; Magnoliopsida; Fabales; Fabaceae.